AACGCACAUUGCGCCCUCUGGUAUUCCGGAGGGCAUGCCUGUUCGAGCGUCAUGUAAAGAUAUAUCAAGCACUGCUUGGCCUUGAGUUGACAUGUCUCCGUAGAACGAGGCAGGCUCUAAAUUUGUCGGCGGUGGCUAUUGGCCUCGAGCGUAGUAGAUUAUUCCGCUUUCGAGUGCUUACAGACACCCGCUUCCAACAACCCAAAUAUACCCAUCACAUUGACCUCGGAUCAGGUAGGGAUACCCGCUGAACUUAA
RNAcentral lists this unclassified non-coding RNA (257 nucleotides) under uncultured fungus. RNAcentral's name for it is "partial contains 5.8S ribosomal RNA, internal transcribed spacer 2, and large subunit ribosomal RNA". The stretch from base 1 to 52 matches the Rfam family "5.8S ribosomal RNA", at positions 103 to 154 of the family's 154-position model. The record is from RNAcentral. Lineage: Eukaryota; Fungi.